Molecule: ribosomal RNA, 300 nt
Filed under: uncultured Chlamydiae bacterium
Lineage: Bacteria; Pseudomonadati; Chlamydiota; Chlamydiia
Description: bacterial SSU rRNA
Rfam family: Bacterial small subunit ribosomal RNA
Source: RNAcentral
CGGCGUGGAUGAGGCAUGCAAGUCGAACGAAGUACCAGGGCAACUUGGUACUUAGUGGCGGAAGGGUUAGUAAUACAUGAAUAACCUGCCUCUAACCUGGGGAUAACGGCUGGAAACGGCCGCUAAUACCGAAUGAGGUGAUUGGGAGGAAUCUCUUGAUCAUCAAAGUGGGGGACCUUGUAAAGGGGCCUUGCGGUUAGAGAGGGGUUCGUGGGAUAUCAGCUAGUUGGUGUGGUAAAGGCGCACCAAGGCUAAGACGUCUAGGCGGAUUGAGAGAUUGACCGCCAACACUGGGACUGA